RNAcentral lists this ribosomal RNA (460 nucleotides) under uncultured bacterium. Its description in RNAcentral is "partial 16S ribosomal RNA". It matches the Rfam family "Bacterial small subunit ribosomal RNA", at positions 338 to 795 of the family's 1533-position model. The record is from RNAcentral.
CCUACGGGUGGCAGCAGUGAGGAAUAUUGGUCAAUGGUCGUAAGACUGAACCAGCCAAGUCGCGUGAGGGAUGAAGGUUCUAUGGAUCGUAAACCUCUUUUAUAAGGGAAUAAAGUGUGGGACGUGUCCCGUUUUGUAUGUACCUUAUGAAUAAGGAUCGGCUAACUCCGUGCCAGCAGCCGCGGUAAUACGGAGGAUCCGAGCGUUAUCCGGAUUUUUUGGGUUUAAAGGGUGCGUAGGCGGCCUUUUAAGUCAGCGGUGAAAGCCUGUGGCUCAACCAUAGAACUGCCGUUGAAACUGGGAGGCUGGAGUGUGUUGGAGGCAGGCGGAAUGCGUGGUGUAGCGGUGAAAUGCAUAGAUAUCACGCAGAACCCCGAUUGCGAAGGCAGCCUGCCGAGCCAUGACUGACGCUGAUGCACGAAAGCGUGGGGAUCAAACAGGAUUAGAUACCCGGGUAGUC